UGGCCGGGUGGUGUAGUUGGUUAUCACGUUUCGUUAACAUUUCAAAUGUACCGAAAAGGUCCUGGGAUCGAACCCCAGCCUGGUCA
RNAcentral lists this transfer RNA (86 nucleotides) under Pseudogymnoascus destructans. RNAcentral's name for it is "partial tRNA-Val". It matches the Rfam family "tRNA". From Rfam's summary of the family: Transfer RNA (tRNA) molecules are approximately 80 nucleotides in length. Lineage: Eukaryota; Fungi; Ascomycota; Leotiomycetes; Thelebolales; Thelebolaceae. The record is from RNAcentral.